CACAUCCAGUGAAGAGAUCCCGGACAGGGAAGUCAGAAGGUCUGCAAGCCUCGUCUUCGCCCCUGCUUUAGCUGCACUUGGUG
Molecule: microRNA precursor, 83 nt
Filed under: Brassica juncea var. tumida
Lineage: Eukaryota; Viridiplantae; Streptophyta; Magnoliopsida; Brassicales; Brassicaceae
Description: PC-mmiR8-5p
Source: RNAcentral